GGGUGAUCACAUGGGUUGGGCAGACCAGGAGACAGGCAGACAGUGUGAGGAGGAUGAUGCAGGAAGGGGUGGGGGAGGGGAGGGACAGGUGCUGGGACCUGGGGCAGAAGGAAUGUGGGGGCAAGGCCGGUGGCGUGAGGAGGGUCAGGUCGGGUCACUGGUGUGCUCCCCCCAAAAUUGGACCUAGAUGAGCUCACCAGGUAGUGAGCUGUUUUCAUUACAGACUCGUUCUUCUGGCCUCUGAAGUCAUAGUGGAUGUGUCCAGUCCUUAGAGAAGGCAGAGGAAACCUAUUCAAGAAAACACAGGACAGGAGCUGGGAGGCAGGCCAGGGUGAUAGUUUGUCCCAAGUUAAUGAGAAGAUGUGGGUGGGGCACUCAGCACCCAGCCCCGCAGGUGGGCCUCUUUCUCCCAGAGCAGCACCCCCGAUGUCAGCCUCUCCCCCCACUUCUGAAGAGGUCAACCCCACACUGCCUGGGUGACCAGUGUCGGCCUCCCCUGAGGCUACCGAAGGUGAGUAAGAGGGAGGUGUGACCCACGAGGAGGAGGAGGGCUAUGCUCCCAGAGAGGGGCUUGAGUCUUCUGAUUUAUGGGAGCAGCAGCCCUGGACAGAGGAGAGUAUGGGAUACAGUGGGGGGAAGAUCAAGUUGUCGGCCACGGGCCCCACUGAGUGGAGGCUGCAGCGGAGGUCGUGGUGCCGGGGCAGGAAGGGCUCUAGUGGGCUGUUUGGCUGUGAAUGAAUUGGAAAUGCAGGACUUGCCUGUUUCCUGCAGGAGGGGUUCAGAGGCUGGGAGAUGGCCCAUCAUUUGAGACCUGCUCACCCACGUGGGAGGAUCCAGAGACACAGCUCUUCCCACAGCGUCCUGACCCCCUCUUCCUAGGGUGGCAGCGUGACCGCUGGAAACUGCUGAUGUCAGUUUCAGCCUGGAGGCUGGAGGGGCUGAUUCUGGGUACCCUGGGCCUCUUGCUCGCUCGUGGCUGGUGGGGACGUGCCUUCCCACCACCCUUCGACUCUGCCGAGUAGCCGCACGUGUGAUGGAGAAAACAAGGUGAAAGAUCAUGAUUGAGUCUAGAAAUCUCAUUGAAAUAUUUACAGUCAUUCUUCAUUUUGAAAGUAAAUACACUUACUGAAAGAAAGGUGAAUUCUUCUGGAAGUACGGAGAGAAAAGGAGGGGUUUCCCCUUGGUCCUCCCGACUAUGCGGCACAGUUGGUGUGUUUGCCAGUGUCCUCCGUGUGCUGCAGGUGUGUGUGUGUGUGUGUGUGUACAGGGAUUCGGCAAAGUAAGGAGCAUCCACAGUGGGCCCAUUGCAGCUUCAGCCCUGGCAGGAAAUCUGCAGGGCACUGUAGGGGCCACCCGUCUGGUUCCUAUGUCUGUGGGGCAGGGUCUGGAUUUCCAGCCCAAUUUUAAAGAACAAAUCACCGCGCCAAGCUGUGGCUGACGGCGUGACUUUCCUUCUUGUCUUCUCGUGGUCGUGUUGUCGCCUGGGGGACGCAGUGCCAGCCGGGGUGCCGGCGUUGGGGUGCGAGGAGAAAAGACUUAAGCCUGUUGGUGUCAACAGGAAGCCCUUUUGUUGGCGUCUUUGAAUUCUGCCUGUUCUCACUUCUUUCAAGUCCGGCCGAGGGCGGGCAGAGCGGCUGCCAUCUCCCUGGGUGACCAGCCUCUGAAUGUCCACAGUCUCCUUUGCUGGCGACCGCCCAACCUGCCCACCCCACAGUCCCCCCUGACCCUUUCUAGGGUCUCAGACCCCCCCCCCCGCCCCGCCUCAAGGCCACAGCCAAAGGCAGGGAUGUGACAUGGCCCUUGGGGUGUGGGCCUGCUGAGCCCGGUCCCUCCUGCCCACCCCCAGCCCCCACCACCUCCACCCAGUGAAGGUCCCAGGCGGGCCCUCCCUGGGAGGACGUCAGACUGCCA
Molecule: long non-coding RNA, 1911 nt
Organism: Bos grunniens (domestic yak)
Lineage: Eukaryota; Metazoa; Chordata; Mammalia; Artiodactyla; Bovidae
Source: Ensembl